CCAUCAAUGUGCUGUGUCAUUCCCAUAGCCCCACCUGCGCUCUUUCUUUAACUUUAGGCUUAGGUGACUUAAAUUUCAUUCAUCCUUCAAGUCACAUGUGAGUAUGACCAUAUCUUUGAGGUCCUAUCGCAUUUGUGUUGUAUAUACCCUUUAGGGUGUGCAGCCCACACUGAACCCUGACUACCUCAUCCUUAGACAGGGAUCACUACAGGAUCCCAUCCUUCAAGGCACAGCUGAUUAUAUUAGAAAGGGAUGUCAGUGACCAAACUGUUCAGGCUCUACCCAUACCACUCACUCUUACCACUUUAGUUUGCCCAACACCCAAGUGUCAGACUUAGCACAUUUUGCCUCAAGUCUCUCUCCAAAGCCGAAGAAGACCGUUCUCUCCAAGGACAGAGCAAGCCAGAAGUACUGUAGGAUUAUCACCCCCUAAUAACACCUUCAACCAAUGAUGAUGGGAGUUGAUGUGUAGUCAGUCCUUUGCCAGCUUGGAUGGAAUAACUGAGUGUAUGUUCUGCUGGGCAUUUUUCCAUUUCCCAGUGGAUUGCCCUCCGGUCACCCUUAGUCAGAGCCAGCUUAGUAACAUCCUAUAUUGGAUGCCUUAUCUUCCCCGUUCCACUUGCCCAUGUUCCUUUCUUACAUGCCCCCCCCAUGUAAUACGUUUGCACUGAAACUCUUAUUUCAAGGUCUGCUUCUUUGAGAAUCCAAACUAAGUCUACACCCAAACCAAGGGAGCCAGUCAGAUUUUCUCGCCUGGGAUUUUGUAUCUAAAAGCAAUGAAAUUUCACCUGGGAUGGUAUGAAAAUGUAUUCUUACUUUUUUUUAAAUUUUAGUCCAUUUCAGAGGGUCAGUUCCAUCCUUCAAUUCUAUUAUUCAUUUCUGUAUUUAUAUAACAAAUGUCUUUGGGUUUUAGCUAAGCAUAAAGUUGAGUUUUGUUACUUUGAACCAAAAUAUCUUAUUUUACCAUUUUUAUUAACUGAAAUAUCAUAUUUGAAAACAAGAUAGGACCCUUCAUCAAGUCCAACCUUCAUAUUGUAGAUAGAAAUACAAAAUGAAAAUAAUUGCCAGAGAUGCAAAGCCUUCCCUUUUUCUUUCUUCUAUCACCUUUCCCCAAACCUGGUACUGAAUACCAAAUGAAACUUCAUAUUUGAGAGCCUAUGUCCAUUCUUAGCUUCGUAUUAUCAUUCAUCUAUUCAUUCAACAAAUAUUUAUGGAAUGUUCACAUGCCAGUCAGUGAGUUAGGCACUUGAAAUAUAACAC
RNAcentral lists this long non-coding RNA (1260 nucleotides) under Sus scrofa (pig). Its description in RNAcentral is "lncRNA (ENSSSCG00040068053.1)". The record is from RNAcentral. Lineage: Eukaryota; Metazoa; Chordata; Mammalia; Artiodactyla; Suidae.